RNAcentral lists this ribosomal RNA (75 nucleotides) under Phlebotomus papatasi. RNAcentral describes it as "partial 28S ribosomal RNA". Lineage: Eukaryota; Metazoa; Arthropoda; Insecta; Diptera; Psychodidae. The record is from RNAcentral.
GAUCUCAACUCUUACAUGACUACUCCCCCCUGUGUUUAAGCAUAUAAAUAAGCGGAGGAAAAAAAACUAACCAGG